This 555-nucleotide ribosomal RNA is filed under the name uncultured Methanosarcinales archaeon. RNAcentral describes it as "bacterial SSU rRNA". It matches the Rfam family "Archaeal small subunit ribosomal RNA", at positions 339 to 894 of the family's 1478-position model. The record is from RNAcentral. Lineage: Archaea; Methanobacteriati; Methanobacteriota; Methanomicrobia; Methanosarcinales.
GCGCGAAUCCUUUACAAUGCAGGAAACUGCGAUAAGGGGACACCGAGUGCCAGUGAAUUUCAUUGGCUGUCUUAAUGUCUAAAACGCAUUUAAUAGCAAGGGCUGGGCAAGACCGGUGCCAGCCGCCGCGGUAAUACCGGCAGCCCGAGUGGUAACCACUAUUAUUGGGUCUAAAGGGUCCGUAGCCGGGCCAAUCAGUCUUCUGGGAAAUCUGGCAGCUCAACUGUCAGGCGACUAGGGGAUACUGUUGGCCUUGGGACCGGGAGAGGUAAGAGGUACUUUAGGGGUAGGAGUGAAAUCUUGUAAUCCUUAAGGGACCACCAGUGGCGAAGGCGUCUUACCAGAACGGGUCCGACGGUGAGGGACGAAAGCUAGGGGCGCAAACCGGAUUAGAUACCCGGGUAGUCCUAGCCGUAAACGAUGUUCGCUAUGUGUCAGGGACGGCGUGACUGUUCCUGGUGCCGAAGGGAAGCUGUGAAGCGAACCACCUGGGAAGUACGGCCGCAAGGCUGAAACUUAAAGGAAUUGGCGGGGGAGCACUACAACGGGAGGACG